GCAGCAAGUUCCCUUUUCCUCCUGUUGUUCCAAUGGUGUCCUGCUGUCCUGGCUGUGUGAGGUUCCCAGAGUUAUUCUGGACCCUGAUAAAUCAGACCUUCAAUAUGGAGAAAUGACCUGCACCUGGAUCCACGCAGGAUGUUCUUGUGGCUUAAAGGAGAACCUCUGAGGAGGCAGAAAGCUGGUUCUUUCUGGAGGGAGAAGGCAUGAGAGACAGACUGGAUUGAAAAGAGAAAGAGGACCCUCAACUCUCCCUAAUUUUCAAGAAUGUUGCCAGUCAAAGAGAGUUCCCCUGGUGGAAUCAAUCUCUUGCUGCCCUGGUGGGUAGGAGCUGCUUUGAGUAGCUUUGGCUUUGUGGUGCUUUCUUGGAGUUUUGGCAAUGAGGGCAACAUCCAGACCCAUGAGAUGUCCCUGCAGCAUGGAGACACCCUCCCUCACUGCAGCUGCUGCCAGCCAGGUAGAGUCAGUCCCCUGCAGUAUUUCACAGCUCCCCUCUUACAUUUUUUUAUCCCUUCUUUUCACUUAGAGAUGAGCCUGGAUUUACCCCUUCCUGACCCUUGAUAAAGUUGAUCAAUGGACCAUCUCAGCCAUGUGUAGUGGGCAGAACAAAAGCUCCUGAGCAUUCAGAUCCACCUCCAAACUGCACAGCUUGAGCCCAUCUCCACAUUUAAUUACUCCAGACCAUUCCCAUGUGUCUCUGGGAAAGAUGUGUCCCCUCAUCUCUGUAUCUGCUUAAAAAUUCUAUCAAUUGCCAUUUUUCUAAAUCCUUCUAUCAAAGAAAUCCUCUCCCCUCCCUCCUAAAUCUCUUGCACUUGGAACUUCAGGGAACAGAGCAGAUGCAGUUUGAUGCCCUCAUCCAAACUAAUGAUUUGUUUCUGGCCGAGAACACAUUACCAUCAAGGGGUUUUUAAUAUUCUGCAGAAUUUAGUGGAGGCCAAUAGAGUAGGAGGGGGGUUAGAUGCUCUGCCUUUGCCAAGAUGUUUAUGCAGCAGGAAUGUUAUUUAUGUAAAUCUGGAAGCACUCUUGAAGCGAUAGCCUCACUCUUGCAUCUCAGACUUUUUUCAUUAAGUCAUUGAUCUUCCUUCAAAAAAACCCAAUUUUUUAAAAUAAAAAAAUCCCUCUGAAAACCUAAAACUCGAGCAUGAAAAGUACUUGGGGAAAAAUAUUUACUGCAUAACUGCUCUAAGCUACCCACAUUAUACAGACCACUGCAAUUCCUGAAGAAUGCUGGGGUAACAACUGCUGGAUUUGGGAUUUCACACAUCCGC
RNAcentral lists this long non-coding RNA (1268 nucleotides) under Taeniopygia guttata (zebra finch). RNAcentral's name for it is "lncRNA (ENSTGUG00000018977.1)". Lineage: Eukaryota; Metazoa; Chordata; Aves; Passeriformes; Estrildidae. The record is from RNAcentral.